Molecule: long non-coding RNA, 461 nt
Organism: Nematostella vectensis (starlet sea anemone)
Lineage: Eukaryota; Metazoa; Cnidaria; Anthozoa; Actiniaria; Edwardsiidae
Exons: 2
Source: RefSeq, a predicted model, not a curated record
GUGUUUACUCUCUGAAGUGAUCAGCCGGUCCUUUGGCAAUCAAGCUGAGCUAAGGCACUUGGCGAUAAAUAGAGAUCACACUUGUGCAGAUGAAGGCCGGUAAAUUGAAGACAAAACACAAUGACUAUGUUUCCUUCAGACACCCUCUUCCUCAGUGGACAUAUCUUUGCCAGGGUACUGUACCUCGGAGGAUGAUGAAAGGUAGAACGUCUUCUGACUGAAGAAGAAAGCAGAAGAGCUUUAAUUUUGAUGAAGUGUUAUGUGAAGUACUCCCUUUUGUGCGAGAAGAGAGGUUGUUCUACCGCAUCAAGAGUCAUAAUGAGAGAUAUGUGUAACCACUCUCUUCAAAAUACAUACCUUUUUCAAGUGCUAAAAAGUAAGAGGACAACUGUCACGUUCAAAGAACAGUCUGAGUCACGAACAACAUUCUCAAAGGAAAAUAAAUGUAAUAUAACCGCUUA